ACCAAUAACUCAAGGUUCUUGGUGAAGAAUGUUGGAUUUGGCCUAGUUUGUACUCAUCCGUUGACUGCAAAUAUGCUCAUAAGGCCAUAAGGGGCAACUAAUUCUCCUGUCACGUCUGCCAACAAAACCUGCCUGUAAUUCUAGACUCCUUCUCUCCUUCAGCCUUGGCAUUGUACUCCACUUCUUUAACGGCUUCUCCCAUGUGAGGGUCUGCUUCACCAGAUUCUGCUUCUCCAACCU
Molecule: long non-coding RNA, 240 nt
Organism: Daphnia pulex (common water flea)
Lineage: Eukaryota; Metazoa; Arthropoda; Branchiopoda; Diplostraca; Daphniidae
Exons: 2
Source: RefSeq, a predicted model, not a curated record